UUUCUGACUCAGCCACCUGAGA
RNAcentral lists this microRNA (22 nucleotides) under Mus musculus (house mouse). Its description in RNAcentral is "mmu-miR-12178-3p". The record is from miRBase by way of RNAcentral. Lineage: Eukaryota; Metazoa; Chordata; Mammalia; Rodentia; Muridae.